This 468-nucleotide ribosomal RNA is filed under the name uncultured bacterium. RNAcentral describes it as "partial 16S ribosomal RNA". It matches the Rfam family "Bacterial small subunit ribosomal RNA", at positions 28 to 507 of the family's 1533-position model. The record is from RNAcentral.
GACGAACGCUGGCGGCGUGCUUAACACAUGCCAGUCGAACGGAAAGGCCCUGCUUUUGUGGGGUGCUCGAGUGGCGAACGGGUGAGUAACACGUGAGUAACCUGCCCUUGACUUUGGGAUAACUUCAGGAAACUGGGGCUAAUACCGGAUAGGAGCUCCUGCUGCAUGGUGGGGGUUGGAAAGUUUCGGCGGUUGGGGAUGGACUCGCGGCUUAUCAGCUUGUUGGUGGGGUAGUGGCUUACCCAGGCUUUGACGGGUAGCCGGCCUGAGAGGGUGACCGGCGACAUUGGGACUGAGAUACGGCCCAGACUCCUACGGGAGGCAGCAGGGGGGAAUAUUGCACAAUGGGGGGAAGCCUGAUGCAGCAACGCCGCGUGCGGGAUGACGUCUUUCGGGUUGUAAACCGCUUUCGCCUGUGACGAAGCGUGAGUGACGGUAAUGGGUAAAGAAGCACCGGCUAACUACGUG